CGUGAGUGAUGAAGGUUUUCGGACCGUAAAACUCUGUUGUAAGGGAAGAACAAGUACGUUAGGAAAUGAACGUACCUUGACGGUACCUUAUUAGAAAGCCACGGCUAACUACGUGCCAGCAGCCGCGGUAAUACGUAGGUGGCAAGCGUUGUCCGGAUUUAUUGGGCGUAAAGCGCGCGCAGGUGGUUUCUUAAGUCUGAUGUGAAAGCCCACGGCUCAACCGUGGAGGGUCAUUGGAAACUGGGGAACUUGAGUGCAGAAGAGGAUAGUGGAAUUCCAAGUGUAGCGGUGAAAUGCGUAGAGAUUUGGAGGAACACCAGUGGCGAAGGCGACUGUCUGGUCUGUAACUGACACUGAGGCGCGAAAGCGUGGGGAGCAAACAGGAUUAGAUACCCUGGUAGUCCACGCCGUAAACGAUGAGUGCUAAGUGUUAGGGGGUUUCCGCCCCUUAGUGCCGCAGCUAACGCAUUAAGCACUCCGCCUGGGGAGUACGACCGCAAGGUUGAAACUCAAAGGAAUUGACGG
This 525-nucleotide ribosomal RNA is filed under the name uncultured Kurthia sp. RNAcentral describes it as "bacterial SSU rRNA". It matches the Rfam family "Bacterial small subunit ribosomal RNA", at positions 400 to 916 of the family's 1533-position model. The record is from RNAcentral. Lineage: Bacteria; Bacillati; Bacillota; Bacilli; Caryophanales; Caryophanaceae.